GCCUGAUCCAGCAAUGCCGCGUGUGUGAAGAAGGCCUGCGGGUUGUAAAGCACUUUCAGUAGAGAAGAAAAGCCUACGGUUAAUAGCCGUGAGUCUUGACGUAACCUACAGAAGAAGCACCGGCUAACUCCGUGCCAGCAGCCGCGGUAAUAAUCGAAUUCCCGCGGCCGCCA
This 173-nucleotide ribosomal RNA is filed under the name uncultured Gammaproteobacteria bacterium. RNAcentral's name for it is "partial 16S ribosomal RNA". It matches the Rfam family "Bacterial small subunit ribosomal RNA", at positions 381 to 546 of the family's 1533-position model. Lineage: Bacteria; Pseudomonadati; Pseudomonadota; Gammaproteobacteria. The record is from RNAcentral.